This 59-nucleotide transfer RNA is filed under the name Schistocephalus solidus. It matches the Rfam family "tRNA", at positions 7 to 64 of the family's 71-position model. Rfam says of the family: Transfer RNA (tRNA) molecules are approximately 80 nucleotides in length. Their secondary structure includes four short double-helical elements and three loops (D, anti-codon, and T loops). Lineage: Eukaryota; Metazoa; Platyhelminthes; Cestoda; Diphyllobothriidea; Diphyllobothriidae. The record is from Rfam by way of RNAcentral.
AUGGCUCAAUGGUAGAUCGUUCGACUCAAAAACCAAAGAUCGCGGGUUCGAAUCCAGCU